UACGUAGGGGGCAAGCGUUGUCCGGAAUCAUUGGGCGUAAAGAGCGCGUAGGCGGCCCGGUAAGUCUGUUGUGAAAGUCCAGGGCUCAACCCUGGAAAGCCGAUGGAUACUGCCGGGCUAGAGUUCGGAAGAGGCGAGUGGAAUUCCUGGUGUAGCGGUGGAAUGCGCAGAUAUCAGGAGGAACACCUAUAGCGAAGGCAGCUCGCUGGGACGACACUGACGCUGAGACGCGAAAGCGUGGGGAGCGAACAGG
Molecule: ribosomal RNA, 253 nt
Filed under: uncultured bacterium
Lineage: Bacteria
Description: partial 16S ribosomal RNA
Rfam family: Bacterial small subunit ribosomal RNA
Source: RNAcentral